AGUGAACGCUGGCGGUAGGCCUAACACAUGCAAGUCGAACGGCAGCACAGUAAGAGCUUGCUCUUACGGGUGGCGAGUGGCGGACGGGUGAGGAAUACAUCGGAAUCUACUUUUUCGUGGGGGAUAACGUAGGGAAACUUACGCUAAUACCGCAUACGACCUACGGGUGAAAGCAGGGGAUCUUCGGACCUUGCGCGAUUGAAUGAGCCGAUGUCGGAUUAGCUAGUUGGCGGGGUAAAGGCCCACCAAGGCGACGAUCCGUAGCUGGUCUGAGAGGAUGAUCAGCCACACUGGAACUGAGACACGGUCCAGACUACUACGGGAGGCAGCAGUGGGGAAUCUUUGCCAAUGGGCGCAAGCCUGAUCCAGCCAUACCGCGUGGGUGAAGGAGGCCUUCGGGUUGUAAAGCCCUUUUGUUGGGAAAGAAAAGCAGCAGGUUAAUACCCCGCUGUUCUGACGGUACCCAAAGAAUAAGCACCGGCUAACUUCGUG
This 492-nucleotide ribosomal RNA is filed under the name uncultured bacterium. RNAcentral's name for it is "partial 16S ribosomal RNA". It matches the Rfam family "Bacterial small subunit ribosomal RNA", at positions 29 to 507 of the family's 1533-position model. The record is from RNAcentral.